This 253-nucleotide ribosomal RNA is filed under the name uncultured bacterium. Its description in RNAcentral is "partial 16S ribosomal RNA". It matches the Rfam family "Bacterial small subunit ribosomal RNA", at positions 524 to 776 of the family's 1533-position model. The record is from RNAcentral.
UACGAAGGGGGCUAGCGUUGCUCGGAAUCACUGGGCGUAAAGCGCACGUAGGCGGAUUUCUAAGUCAGGGGUGAAAUCCUGGAGCUCAACUCCAGAACUGCCUUUGAUACUGGAGAUCUCGAGUACGGAAGAGGUGAGUGGAACUGCGAGUGUAGAGGUGAAAUUCGUAGAUAUUCGCAAGAACACCAGUGGCGAAGGCGGCCAUCUGGACCACAACUGACGCUGAGGCGCGAAAGCGUGGGGAGCAAACAGG